Molecule: ribosomal RNA, 253 nt
Filed under: uncultured bacterium
Lineage: Bacteria
Description: partial 16S ribosomal RNA
Rfam family: Bacterial small subunit ribosomal RNA
Source: RNAcentral
UACGUAGGGUGCGAGCGUUACUCGGGAUUACUGGGCGUAAAGCGUGCGCAGGCGGUUUUGUAAGUCUGACGUGAAAUCCCCGGGCUUAACCUGGGAAUUGCGUUGGAGACUGCAAGGCUGGAGUCUGGCAGAGGGGGGUAGAAUUCCACGUGUAGCAGUGAAAUGCGUAGAGAUGUGGAGGAACACCGAUGGCGAAGGCAGCCCCCUGGGUCAAGACUGACGCUCAUGCACGAAAGCGUGGGGAGCAAACAGG